This 479-nucleotide ribosomal RNA is filed under the name uncultured bacterium. RNAcentral's name for it is "bacterial SSU rRNA". It matches the Rfam family "Bacterial small subunit ribosomal RNA", at positions 30 to 502 of the family's 1533-position model. The record is from RNAcentral.
AUUGAACGCUGGCGGCAUGCCUUACACAUGCAAGUCGAACGGCAGCACGGGAGCAAUCCUGGUGGCGAGUGGCGAACGGGUGAGUAAUAUAUCGGAACGUGCCCGGUCGUGGGGAUAACGUAGCGAAAGCUACGCUAAUACCGCAUACGAUCUACGGAUGAAAGCGGGGGAUCGCAAGACCUCGCGCGAUUGGAGCGGCCGAUAUCAGAUUAGGUAGUUGGUGAGGUAAAGGCUCACCAAGCCGACGAUCUGUAGCUGGUCUGAGAGGACGACCAGCCACACUGGGACUGAGACACGGCCCAGACUCCUACGGGAGGCAGCAGUGGGGAAUUUUGGACAAUGGGCGCAAGCCUGAUCCAGCAAUGCCGCGUGCAGGAUGAAGGCCUUCGGUUGUAACUGCUUUGUACGGUAACGAAACGGUGAGCUCUAAUACGGUUUGUCGUAAUGACGGUACCGUAAGAAUAAGACACCGGCUAACU